This 294-nucleotide small nuclear RNA is filed under the name Oryctolagus cuniculus (rabbit). Its description in RNAcentral is "7SK RNA". It matches the Rfam family "7SK RNA". From Rfam's summary of the family: 7SK was discovered as an abundant small nuclear RNA in the mid-70s but a possible function has only recently been suggested. Two independent studies have found that 7SK RNA binds the CDK9/cyclin T complex (known as elongation factor P-TEFb). P-TEFb activates transcription by phosphorylating the C-terminal domain of RNA polymerase II. Lineage: Eukaryota; Metazoa; Chordata; Mammalia; Lagomorpha; Leporidae. The record is from Rfam by way of RNAcentral.
CGAUGCGAGGGCUCUCUGGCUGUGACAUCUAUCGUCCCACUGAUCACAAGGGUGGAUCCAGAUGAUCUGGCUGGCUAAGCAGGUGUCUCCUCCCUCCCUCAGGGCUCUGGUCCCAAGUGCAUCCCUCCCAAAGCUGCGGCAUGCUUGGUUGAACAGGACGACCUUCCCCACUCGAGGACCGGUCUUCAGUUAAGGGCAUAUGAGCAGCUGUGCUCCCCGGCUAGAAGCUGCAAACCAGCUCUCAAAAACGCUGCCACAUCUGAACUGACAUUAACAAAGUUUAGGACAGCGUCC